Molecule: ribosomal RNA, 253 nt
Filed under: uncultured bacterium
Lineage: Bacteria
Description: partial 16S ribosomal RNA
Rfam family: Bacterial small subunit ribosomal RNA
Source: RNAcentral
UACGUAGGGUGCAAGCGUUAUCCGGAUUUAUCGGGCGUAAAGGGCUCGUAGGCGGUUCGUCGCGUCCGGUGUGAAAGUCCAUCGCUUAACGGUGGAUCCGCGCCGGGUACGGGCGGGCUUGAGUGCGGUAGGGGAGACUGGAAUUCCCGGUGUAACGGUGGAAUGUGUAGAUAUCGGGAAGAACACCAAUGGCGAAGGCAGGUCUCUGGGCCGUUACUGACGCUGAGGAGCGAAAGCGUGGGGAGCGAACAGG